UCCAGCCAUACCGCGUGGGUGAAGAAGGCCUAUCGGGUUGUAAAGCCCUUUUGUUGGGAAAGAAAUCCAGCCGGCUAAUACCUGGUUGGGAUGACGGUACCCAUAGAAUAAGCCCCGGCUAAUUUCGUGCCAGCACCCACGGUAAUACGAAGGGUGCGAGCGUUACUCGGAAUUACUGGGCGUGAAGCGUGCGUAGGUGGUUGUUUAAGUCUGUUGGGAAAGCCCUGGGCUCAACCUGGGAACUGCAGUGGAGACUGGAAGACUGGAGUGUGUGAUAGGGUAGCGGAAUUCCUGGAGUAGCAGAGAAAUGCCUAUAGAUAAGGAGGAACAUCCGUGGCGAACGCAGCUACCUGGACCAACACUGACACUGAGGCACGAAUGCGUGGGGAGGAAACACGAUUACAUACCCUGGUAGUCCACGCCCUAAACGAUGCGAACUGGAUGUUGGGUGCAAUUUGGCACGCAAUAUCCAAGCUCAGGCGUUAAGUUCGCCGCCUGGGGAGUACGGUCACAAGACUGAAACUCCGAGGAAUUGACGGAGGCCCGCACAAGCGGUGGAGUAUGUGGUUUAAUUCGAUGCGACGCGGACAUGCUUACCUGGCCUUGACAUGUCUAGAA
RNAcentral lists this ribosomal RNA (618 nucleotides) under Lysobacteraceae bacterium Ri3Ps_5395. RNAcentral's name for it is "bacterial SSU rRNA". It matches the Rfam family "Bacterial small subunit ribosomal RNA", at positions 387 to 995 of the family's 1533-position model. The record is from RNAcentral. Lineage: Bacteria; Pseudomonadati; Pseudomonadota; Gammaproteobacteria; Lysobacterales; Lysobacteraceae.